This is a long non-coding RNA of Sapajus apella (tufted capuchin), 4207 nucleotides long. RefSeq lists it as uncharacterized. The transcript has 3 exons. The record is from RefSeq and is a predicted model, not a curated record. Lineage: Eukaryota; Metazoa; Chordata; Mammalia; Primates; Cebidae.
ACCUCUGGUGAUCCACCCACCUCAGCGUCCCAAAGUACUGGGAUUACAGAUGUGAGCCACCAAGUUCAGCCAAUUGUUUGUCUUUUAACAUUGCACCAGAAAGCCCGAAGGGAAAGGAUGAGCAAUACAAAUUGCCUAGUUUUACUUCUAGCUGGUUGGUCUAGUUAAACAUUUGUAGGUAGACAGACCUGAAAAUAAGGUUUUAUGGUAUUUAUGAUUUUUUCUCUAUCUAUUCACUUAUUAUCUCCGAUAAAUGAGAAUUAUGGUCUUCAAUUAGGGAAGAUCAAAGGCAAAUCAGGAAAUAGUGAUUUAUUUAUUGUAAGAGUCAGGAGAGGGGUAGGGGUGGGGAAAAAAGCAAGAGUCAGGUAAGGACAUAGUACUGCUUUAGAUGUGUUCCGAAACAAUAUGGAACUCUAUUAAAUAAAUUUUUAUUAAUGACCUUUAGAAGUCAUACUUAAUUCACAUAUGAUACAGUAAAAUUAAGUUUGAAUAAAAUAGUUGGUUGAAAUCAAUUUAUAUUUGAUAUAUGUAUGGAGUGGGCUUUUCCUUUUAGAUGCUUACUGUUUUUGCUUAUAGUCAUCAUUUCACCGACGAUACCUUACAUGGAAUUUGAAAGGAGGCAAAUUCAGAUAUACUGGCAGAUGGGGAUUUAGUUCUUAAUUUCAAAUCCUUUUAGACACAGUUACUCAAAUUUCAGAAUGUUUUAUUGAAGAGUUGGUAGAAAAUUUUUGGAAAAAAAUGGGGCUUUUCAAAAAGUAAAGUUUAAAAGUAAAGUCUGCUUUUCAGGUAGACCAUUCUAUUAAUGAUCAAUAAAAGCCUAUGUUUAGAUAUAGUUUGUAUUAUUUUAUAUCUUUUCUGUAGUAUACAAAGUUACAGGGACUUGCCUUAAUUUCGGUGAUUCUCUAAUUUGUUUAUAAUGCUACUAAUUUAUUCAGAAUUAUGCUGCAUAAAAUAUGGUUGGUUUGUUUCAGAUGUAUAUCUAGAGCUUGAGCCCUGCACCUAAUAGGCUUAAAAAUUUAAAAUAUGCUGGAUAUGCUUAUGGAACAUCAGUAUUAAAUGAGUGAAGAAAUUGAAACCUACAGCGCAUCUAUAUGGAAAUUACAAUAGCGAAAACAAAAAGUAAAUAGUAGCUAAAAUUGGAACACGUUCAGAUUCCUAUCUUAUCUUGAAAAAAUAUGAAAGAAUAACAGAGAAACUAGUCUCCUGUACCCAGCUGCAGCGUUCCCCUGCUAAAGAACAACCUGACUUUAAAUUUCACCCACAAGUCGCCACUUUCCACUGUGUUUAGAAACUGUGGUCACAGGUGGUUGAUUCCUUUUUCAGAAGGCAAUUCAUUUAGAUUGGUAUCAGAAUCUUGUUUGGUUCAACCAGAAGGCUAUGCUAAUUGUUGGCUAUUUUCUUGGAGAGGGACAUCAAACCGUAAUCAGGAAUUGUAGGAGUUUAAGAGAAACGUGUGAUCAAAACAUUUCCAGUAGGAGUUCAAAUGAAGAAUUCAAUGUGCUAAAAUAAUGAAGUGAAUCUUCUCUCUCAUGGAAUUAUAUCCUAAUUAUGCCUGCCUAUGUAAGUUCAAACACACACACAAACAAACUACAUGUUUUGGAGAAUUGCAGUGAACAGAUAGUUUUUUUCCUUUUAGAAACAUUGGGCCACUUUAAAAGUCUGGUGACAGUAAACUUGCAAAUAUGAUUGUUUUAAUUUCCAAGUAAAAAAAGAAACUGUAAGUUUUUAAUGUUGUGAUUUAAAGCAAAAUAAGUGUAAUUUGUAAGAGAACUCUCAACGUCAAGAUCCUCUUGGCCAAAAAAUAAGACUACAAUCCCCAUCAUACCAAGAAUUCUUUGGUCCAGGUAAGAAACAAACUCAGAAUUCAGCAAGUACACUGUGAAAUUAUACAGUAUAGUAUAAUGAACAUACAGUAAAAUAAUGAAAUUUAAAUGCAUGACUUCUGUGAAAUUAUUUUAAAAGAAUUUUUAAACUAGUAGAAAAGCUUUUUUGCUGACAGUUCUGUUUUUGUACAACACAUUUGCAACACUUUCUACAGAAGUUUUUAGUUCCUUAGCAAUGUAAAACAUUUCUCACUAAGAAAAUGGAUUGCUUUGAUAAAGUAAAAAUUAGCAUUGAUAUCAAAUUUAUUAUUAUCCAAAGCUUAUCUCAAUUUAGCUAUUGCAAUAGAGCUUCCCCUUUAAAACCUGCAUCACCAUUACUAUUACUUUACAUUCUGAUCUUUAAUUCAUAUGAAGGGAUUUGUUACAGUUAGUCUGGGUCAGUGACUCAACCUCUCCAAGAGGAUGCAACACCGAAAUGGGCCUUGUACUUUCCUGGAUUCAUUUCAUGUUACUGAUUUUACCUGGGUGUAAUUCAGAAUACAAAUGUAGAAGUUGUAUAUAUCCAUAUCAGGGGUCCUUCAAUUAUAGGAAGAUGAGAUAGUGGGCUUAUACUUAGGUCUCUGUAUACAACCUUUUUUAUUUUUCCAAGUUAAAUUUCAGUCUUUAAAAUACACAGAAACAUACACAAAAUAGUGCAUAUGUAGUAUGAUUUCAUUUAUAUAGUGUACAUAAUAAGCAACACUAAUUGGUGGUAUCAGAAGUAAGGUUAGUAGUCCUAGAGAUGGGGGUGGGGUGAGGGCAGGGACAGGUAGUAAGUGCAAGGGACAUGGGGCCAGCUUCUGAGUUACUAUAACUUUCUUGAUUUCAAUGAUGUUUCAUAGGUGUAUUCUGUCUGCGAAAACUGAUCAGGCGAUCUCCUUAUGGUUUGCUCUGUUUUCUACAUGUAUAUUACAUUAAAAUGUUUUUAAAGGUGUGUGCAUUAGUAAACACGGAAUUUUGGUUCCUCAGCUUGGAUCUUGGACAUUACCCAAAUACAAGUUGGAGAGGCUGCUCAUGUGCACAUGUAUCUCACAGAUCUUGGAGUCUAACCCAUAGUAUAAAAUAAAGGAAACAGUAUUGAUGGAGGCAGGUAUUGCCAUUGCUUAACCCACAGCAUGAAUCUGAGCUCCUAGGCCCUACACUUGGACCAUCAGCCACCCAGCCAUAUUACAAUCUGUUAACAGAUGUGGAUGAGGACCAAGGAUCAGAAUCAGGAAGGGCCGGUGGUCAGUGAGGGAACUGGGAAGUAAAGCCAGCAAGCUAAGCAUUCUUUAUGAUCGACUGACCUCUAAAUAUGUACCUCCACCCAGCCUCCUUCCUGAAUAGUGGUUUUCAGCUUGGGCUCUGCAAUUAGGAAGAGUCAAUUCCUCUUUUAGCUUUGCCAUUCUGUAGCUGCGAGCCUUUGGCCAAGUUAUGUUAUCUCAUUAAGGCUGAGCUUCCUCAUUUGUAAGAAGACGUGUGAUCACACAGAGUUGUCGGCACUCUGUGGUAUAUAGGAAAGCUUUAAGAAGGGUAGUUACUAUCAAUAACCUGUGGUCUAUGGACAGUUCCACAGGUUUCUCGAUUUCAAGGGGUCCAAUUUUUACUUUGUCAUCUCUGCUCACUGUUAUGUGCCCAUUUGCUGGUAGCCUAGGAAUCAUUCUCCUUUUCUCCUGCCCUCUACCAAUCACCCCAUUGAUUAGCUUUCCAGUGUGUCAGUUUCUUUCAUCUCCAUGGCUUGACUCAAGCUGUCAGCCUUUCUAGCUUGUCUUACUUCAAAUGCCUUCCAGGUGCACAUCCCGCUCCAAAAGUUUCUUAUAAUGCAGACAGUGAUUUUUCUAAAAUGCAGGUUCAGCCAUGCCACACGCACACACCCUGCUUAAAAUUCUAUAAUGGUUUUCAUUUCCCUCAGGGUAACCUGAACUGCUUAACAUUUUAUACCACCUUAUAAGGCCUUACAUGGCCUGAUUUGCCGCCACUUUCCUCUCCAGCUUCAAAUCUUGUUUCUCUUUUUCAGUCUAUACUGCAAAAGGAUGUAACUUCAUUCAGUUUCUCCUCUUUCAAUUCAUGCAUGCUAUUCCUUCUGUUAGAAUAGUCCGCUGUGCCUCCCCCAUUGUUAUGAAAUGAACUGUGUGCCCCCAGAAUCCAUAUGUUGAAGUCUAAUCCACAGUACCUCAGAAUGUGACCAUAUUUAGAGACAGGGCCUUUAAAGAGUUAAUUAAGUGAAAAUAGGGCCUAAUCUAGAAUCCCGUACUGGUGUCCUUACCUGAAGAGGACAUUGGGACAGAGGGCAGACUGGCUGAGAACGCAGGGAGAAGACAGCCAUCUGUGCAACAACGAGAGAGGCCUCAGCAGAAAUCAGUGCC